UUCAAUUUACCAUCAUUCAAUCAAAAAAUAUGUUCAUUAGACAUCUGUAAAUUUUUUUGCAAAACUUGUAUACCAUAAAAAAUACAAAAAAAAAAUAGAUUUUAAAAUGGAAAAAAGUAUAGAAAAAUAUUUUGCUGUAAUUACCUAUAAAAAUUUACAUUUAGUUGUGGAAACUUAGGUAAUAGUGGUGGUCGGUGGUACUUUUGCUGGCCGUGUCAGGCUCCGAAGCCACGGCGGUGUGGUACAAUAGUAGAGUCUUCAAGGCAUAUCCAGUGUAGCGUACUUCGUUGUGGACCAUCAAGUUACAGCUGCUUUAGUCAAGGCUUUUCAUUAUUAAUGUCUACUGAAGCAAAUGCCUUCGCGUCCAUUGAGGAUGAAAAACCAAGAUUGAAGCAUUCACUGACUUUAGAAUAUAAUUCCUCGUGCAGAAAGAACGUAAGAAGAACUUUGAGGAAAAUUUUAAAUAGUAAAAAGAUCUGCAAAGUAUGGAGUUGAAUACAUGGUAUAUUUUAUGGCAGCUGAUAUGUCAAUUUUCGACAAUCUAUUUUCUUUGGCGACGUCUUCUGAAAAAUGUAGGCAGAGCCUCAAUAGGGAUGGAAGACGCCAAUUUACUUAAAGAUCAAAGAUAUUUCGCAUCUUUGAUUCCCGAGCAACUCCACAUUUGUUGGUUGUUGACUGAACGGGAAACCAGAACUGGUGAACAGAAGAGAUUAUUAAAACCUCUUGACGUAAGCCAGUUGAAGAUAAUUCCACGUUUAUGAAGACAUAUUGACAUUACAUGAGGUGUUCGUGGCAUCAUUUCAUACCAGGACUUCAUAUCCCAACUGCAGUAUUAGAGUUGAGUUUGCAGAAAGAAGUAUUCUAAGGAGUAUUUAUUCGGAGAACUUCUGUUACUAGAACAGCUGCAUUUAAUAACUUUGUAAGCUGACCAAGAGAUUACCUGGGAAUGCUAUACAAACAGUUUCAACUCCAUUAAAUGAAAAAAAAAAGGAAUUAGUGUCGCGUAAACUAAUUUUGGAUAAAGAAAUUUUAGGAGAAGUUAUCGCAUUCAGAGGAAUGCUUUUAUGUAAAUGUAUUCGCUUUAUGUGAUAGUAAAUUUUGUUUUUUUUUUUUCAUAAUAAAUUAUUUUUUUAAAUUCA
Molecule: long non-coding RNA, 1139 nt
Organism: Helicoverpa armigera (cotton bollworm)
Lineage: Eukaryota; Metazoa; Arthropoda; Insecta; Lepidoptera; Noctuidae
Exons: 5
Source: RefSeq, a predicted model, not a curated record